Molecule: ribosomal RNA, 410 nt
Filed under: Gibbaranea occidentalis
Lineage: Eukaryota; Metazoa; Arthropoda; Arachnida; Araneae; Araneidae
Description: partial 16S ribosomal RNA
Rfam family: Bacterial large subunit ribosomal RNA
Source: RNAcentral
AGCUGCGGAAAUUUAACCGUGCUAAGGUAGCAUAAUCAUUAGCCUCUUAAUUAGAGACUCGUAUGAACGGUGAAACAUUUCAAUUACUUUAUUAAUUAACUUUAUCAAACUUAAACCAAGAAUAAAAAUGUUCUUAUAAAUUAAUUAGACGACAAGACCCUUUUGAACUUUACUAUUGUUUAGCUGGGGUAGCUAUAAAAUAUUAAUCUUCUUAAUUUUAUUUAUAUAAAUGACCCAAUUCAAUUGAUUAUUUGAACAAGUUACCAUAGGGAUAACAGCGUAAUAUUUUUUAAAAGUUCUUAUUUAAAAAAAUGAUUGCGACCUCGAUGUUGAAUUAAUGUAACUUUAUUGAUGAAGUAAUCAUAAAAGUUGGUCUGUUCGACCAUUAAAACAUUACGUGAUCUGAGUUC